UAAAAAAUAGAUUCUUCCAUUAAAGUAUGCAUUGAAACAAUGAUCUUUAUCCGUAUAUAAUUAUAUACUUUAGAAUUUAUCACUUUCUACUAAGUAUCUGUUUGGGAUUCUUUCAUACAGACGCAGUGGUGUAACAUGUUGCAGUAAUUAUUGGUAUAAAAAGGACACCCAUGAAUGUGUUGUUUGCAAUCCAGGAUACUAUGGUAUUGACUGCGCGGACGUGUGUCCAUUUCCACAAUAUGGUUUUCUUUGCACAAAGAAAUGCAACUGUUCUGUAGAAAACUGCAACUAUGCUACUGGAUGCUCUAUGCCAAAAAUUAAAACUAAGGAUACCACGUCAAUUUUUGAGAAAAGUGUCGAAAUUAACCAAAAUCGAUUUUUUGUGAGCGUUCUUGCAUAUGUGUUCGGAGGUGUUCGUUUGGUUUUUGUUCUUUUCUUUAUUUUGAUUGAAUUGCGUGAAAGAAAAAGGAAGAAGCAUCAGUGAACAAGAGAUAUCAACUGAACAUGUACCAGCCUAUCAUGAAAUUAUAAUACGUGAAGAAAAUGGGGUCAUAUUAUCUUAGAAAAUUAACACAUUUCAAUUUAACAUGCAAUAGUAGAUGUGUGAUCUGUGAAUAAAAAUUGAGAAAGAAUGUGUUAAAUUUAAAAUGCAGUGAGAUAAAGGAAAGUAAUGGAACGUUUUCACCAAAAUGUCUCAGAAUUUUACUUAAAUAAAAAAAUCUUCCUAGAAAUACCAGAUAUCGAACAAUGUGCUUACACAUUCAUGAUCACAUAUUUAUGACAGAGGAGACAAAAAUUAAUUCAAGUCAAAAGCUUACUAUGAAAUUUAAAUUUUGUGAAAAUGUUAUUUUGUGAGGAACGCUAACAUGAGCAAUAACCAAAGAGAGUGUUAUUGAUGAAUGAAUUAGAAUAAUAAACAAUGAGUCAAUAUGUGUA
Saccostrea cuccullata (small rock oyster) is the source of this 936-nucleotide long non-coding RNA. RefSeq lists it as uncharacterized. The record is from RefSeq and is a predicted model, not a curated record. The transcript has 3 exons. NCBI's taxonomy places the organism in Eukaryota, Metazoa, Mollusca, Bivalvia, Ostreida, Ostreidae.